GAUGAACGCUGGCGGCGUGCCUAAUACAUGCAAGUCGAGCGAACAGACGAGGAGCUUGCUCCUCUGACGUUAGCGGCGGACGGGUGAGUAACACGUGGAUAACCUACCUAUAAGACUGGGAUAACUUCGGGAAACCGGAGCUAAUACCGGAUAAUAUAUUGAACCGCAUGGUUCAAUAGUGAAAGACGGUUUUGCUGUCACUUAUAGAUGGAUCCGCGCCGCAUUAGCUAGUUGGUAAGGUAACGGCUUACCAAGGCGACGAUGCGUAGCCGACCUGAGAGGGUGAUAGGCCACACGGGAGCGGGAACACGGUCCAGACUCCUACGGGAGGCAGCAGUAGGGAAUCGUCCGCAAUGGGCGAAAGCCUGACGGAGCAACGCCGCGUGAGUGAUGAAGGUCUUCGGAUCGUAAAACUCUGUUAUUAGGGAAGAACAAAUGUGUAAGUAACUAUGCACGUCUUGACGGUACCUAAUCAGAAAGCCACGGCUAACUACGUG
Molecule: ribosomal RNA, 497 nt
Filed under: uncultured bacterium
Lineage: Bacteria
Description: partial 16S ribosomal RNA
Rfam family: Bacterial small subunit ribosomal RNA
Source: RNAcentral